AACGCUAGCUACAGGCUUAACACAUGCAAGUCGAGGGGAAACGAUAUUGGAAGCUUGCUUCCGAUAGGCGUCGACCGGCGCACGGGUGAGUAACGCGUAUCCAACCUGCCCACCACUUGGGGAUAACCUUGCGAAAGUAAGACUAAUACCCAAUGACGUCUCUAGAAGACAUCUGAAAGGGAUUAAAGAUUUAUCGGUGAUGGAUGGGGAUGCGUCUGAUUAGCUUGUUGGCGGGGUAACGGCCCACCAAGGCGACGAUCAGUAGGGGUUCUGAGAGGAAGGUCCCCCACAUUGGAACUGAGACACGGUCCAAACUCCUACGGGAGGCAGCAGUGAGGAAUAUUGGUCAAUGGACGAGAGUCUGAACCAGCCAAGUAGCGUGCAGGAUGACGGCCCUAUGGGUUGUAAACUGCUUUUAUAAGGGAAUAAAGUGAGUCUCGUGAGACUUUUUGCAUGUACCUUAUGAAUAAGGACCGGCUAAUUCCGUGCCAGCAGCCGCGGUAAUACGGAAGGUCCGGGCGUUAUCCGGAUUUAUUGGGUUUAAAGGGAGCGUAGGCCGGAGAUUAAGCGUGUUGUGAAAUGUAGACGCUCAACGUCUGCACUGCAGCGCGAACUGGUUUCCUUGAGUACGCACAAAGUGGGCGGAAUUCGUGGUGUAGCGGUGAAAUGCUUAGAUAUCACGAAGAACUCCGAUUG
RNAcentral lists this ribosomal RNA (696 nucleotides) under uncultured bacterium. RNAcentral's name for it is "bacterial SSU rRNA". It matches the Rfam family "Bacterial small subunit ribosomal RNA", at positions 32 to 715 of the family's 1533-position model. The record is from RNAcentral.